CAUGAUACGAGUAAUUUUGAUGACAAAUAUGAGUAUGAAUCAACAGAAUAUUCUUCAAUUGAUGAUUUAAGUGAGGGAAAAAUUCACUCUAUAAAUAAUUUCACCUAUAAUACUGACUGGUAUCUGAAAUAAUAGUUAAAAAAAGGUGAAAGUUUAAUUUUCUACAAUAACAAUUUAGGUAUGUUAAUAAUCGAUCAAAUCAUAAUAGUUCCACCCAAUGUAAAACAAACUAACCGAAUACAUUAUUAUUUUUUGUGGUAUUUUUCAGAAAUUUUCCAAAAUUGAAUAAUCAAUAUUGAUAUUUGUGAGAUGAAAAUGUUGAAUAUGUGUACAAUCCGAUGAUCAUCAUUCAACACAUAAAAAUAUAACUCAUCAACUAUAUCAUCAACAACACUUGUGAUGACUGUUUCCCUUUCUACUACAAAUGGUGUUUGUGCUA
Molecule: non-coding RNA, 439 nt
Organism: Cinara cedri
Lineage: Eukaryota; Metazoa; Arthropoda; Insecta; Hemiptera; Aphididae
Source: the annotation of a GenBank genome assembly